This 1018-nucleotide long non-coding RNA is filed under the name Lepisosteus oculatus (spotted gar). RNAcentral's name for it is "lncRNA (ENSLOCG00000022550.1)". Lineage: Eukaryota; Metazoa; Chordata; Actinopteri; Semionotiformes; Lepisosteidae. The record is from RNAcentral.
CGAUGGAUAGAUGACCCUUGUAUGUGAUAGAUCAACAAGGUAUUGCGUAUUAAUGCAAAAGGGAAAAAUGUCUUUUGUUCUUGCCACUUUUGUUCUCAGACUCCUUUUUUCUGUGUGGCAGUCAAAGGGUUAAACUGCUAUUCUCCAUUAUGAGCAAACAAACACUCUGAUGGGGGUCCAUCAAUUUCUAGCCCUCCUGAUAUUGCUUUUCAGCUCUCCGAGAGGGAAGUUGUUGACCCCAAAAAUAUACAGCAUAGAAUAAUGCCUGCGAUUCUAAUAGAAGACACUAAAUGCCUUUGAAUGCUGGUGGGUUUUUUUUUUGUUCAUUUGGAUAAGUUAUAAACCUCCUGGUGAUUAUUUUUACUCCAGAUAAAGGAAGAAUCAUGCAAUUACACCUUAUGCUAGCAUCACCACAAAAGGAUAUUUUGUCUCAGUGGAGUACUCAAAUCAGAAACCUCUCAUGACAACGCUGUCUUCUGACUCGAGCGUAAACUACUGCAAGAGGGUUAAGCAUGGAGAUGGGAGAAAGACGGGCCUGUUUUAUUGGAACCAUAAACCUGCUGACGUCGCUUCUGUCUCCCCAGAAAGCCCUCCUCACAGGAGCCAUCCUCAGAACAUGCGUGUCUUGUGUAUGGCAAAGGAGUGGUGACCAACACGAAGGUCAUGAGGACGUCCUGCUGCCCGCUGUGGCUGUGCCCAUGGCAUUCGGCAGCCUGAUUACAAGCAGCAUGGGGAUCAGGUUUUCUACGCAAGAUAUAGAGACAGACCCAUGGCAUUCACCUUGAGUAGGCAGAAGGAGGAGGUUUACGUGCACAUUUCUGUCUGAUGGCAAAAACGGCGCAAUUCCUAGCCUGGGCAGGGAGGCAGAGCAGUGCAGCCCUCUUGCUUUUGGAGUUGAAAAGCAGAUGGAAGGUGAAGAGGAGGAGAGAGUAAAUACAGAGCAGGAACACAUUAGAUUUAGGUAACACCGAAUUUUGUGUUCCCUUUCAGAUUAUUGGUUGCAGUUGCAGGUCAAGAG